RNAcentral lists this transfer RNA (67 nucleotides) under Xylophagaidae sp. E23. RNAcentral describes it as "tRNA-Leu". It matches the Rfam family "tRNA". Rfam says of the family: Transfer RNA (tRNA) molecules are approximately 80 nucleotides in length. Lineage: Eukaryota; Metazoa; Mollusca; Bivalvia; Myida; Xylophagaidae. The record is from RNAcentral. RNAcentral also lists the same sequence under 1 other name.
UCUAAAUUAGCAGAAAGAUAAUGUGUUUGACUUAGGAUCAAAAGGUGUGUUAGUUGCACAUUUAGAA